GGCGGUGGCGCGUGCCUGUAGUCCCAGCUACUCGGGAGGCUGAGCCCGCCGGAUCGCUUGAGCCCAGGAGUUCUGGGCUGCAGUGCGCUCUGCCGAGCCGGCAUCAAUACGGUGAGUGCCGGGGAGCCGGGGGACACCCAGUUGGCUAAGGAGGGGUGAACCGGCCGGGUCGGAGACGGAGCAGGUCAGAGCUCCCGUGCCGGUCAGUGGCGGGAUCGCGCCUGUGAAUAGCCACUGCAGCUUAGCCUGGGCAACGCAGAGAGACGCGGGUUCCU
This 275-nucleotide signal recognition particle RNA is filed under the name Accipiter nisus (Eurasian sparrowhawk). RNAcentral describes it as "Metazoan signal recognition particle RNA (ENSANIG00000007880.1)". It matches the Rfam family "Metazoan signal recognition particle RNA". From Rfam's summary of the family: The signal recognition particle (SRP) is a universally conserved ribonucleoprotein. It is involved in the co-translational targeting of proteins to membranes. The record is from RNAcentral. Lineage: Eukaryota; Metazoa; Chordata; Aves; Accipitriformes; Accipitridae.